RNAcentral lists this ribosomal RNA (1482 nucleotides) under metagenome. RNAcentral describes it as "bacterial SSU rRNA". It matches the Rfam family "Bacterial small subunit ribosomal RNA". The record is from RNAcentral.
AGAGUUUGAUCCUGGCUCAGGAUGAACGCUAGCGGCAGGCUUAAUACAUGCAAGUCGAACGGGAUAGAUUGUAGCAAUACGAUCUUGAGAGUGGCGCACGGGUGCGUAACACGUAUGCAACCUACCUUUAUCUGGAGAAUAGCUUUCGGAAACGGAAAUUAAUACUCCAUAAUAUGUAGAAUAGGCAUCUAUUUUACAUUAAAGUAACAACGGAUAAAGAUGGGCAUGCGCAACAUUAGCUAGUUGGUGUGGUAAAAGCGCACCAAGGCUACGAUGUUUAGGGGGUCUGAGAGGAUUUUCCCCCACACUGGUACUGAGACACGGACCAGACUCCUACGGGAGGCAGCAGCAGGGAAUAUUGGUCAAUGGAGGCAACUCUGAACCAGCCAUGCCGCGUGCAGGAUGACGGCCCUCUGGGUUGUAAACUGCUUUUGUCAGGGAAGAAUAAGCUUAACGUGUUAAGUGAUGACGGUGCCUGAAGAAUAAGGAUCGGCUAACUCCGUGCCAGCAGCCGCGGUAAUACGGAGGAUCCAAGCGUUGUCCGGAUUUAUUGGGUUUAAAGGGUGCGUAGGCGGAUAUGCCAGUCAGAGGUGAAAGCUAGCAGCUUAACUGUUAAAUUGCCUUUGAAACUGCAUAUCUUGAGUAUAGUUGAGGUGGGCGGAAUGUAUCAUGUAGCGGUGAAAUGCUUAGAUAUGAUACAGAACUCCGAUUGCGAAGGCAGCUCACUAAGCUAUAACUGACGCUGAGGCACGAAAGCGUGGGUAGCGAACAGGAUUAGAUACCCUGGUAGUCCACGCCCUAAACUUUGCAUACUCGUUGUUGGCGAUACACAGUCAGCGACUAAGCGAAAGCGUUAAGUAUGCCACCUGGGGAGUACGACCGCAAGGUUGAAACUCAAAGGAAUUGACGGGGGCCCGCACAAGCGGAGGAGCAUGUGGUUUAAUUCGAUGAUACGCGAGGAGCCUUACCUGGGCUUGAAAGCUAGUGACCGUUCCUGAAAGGGAACUUCUCUUCGGAGCACGAAACUAGGUGCUGCAUGGCUGUCGUCAGCUCGUGCCGUGAGGUGUUGGGUUAAGUCCCGCAACGAGCGCAACCCCUAUCUUUAGUUGCCAUCAGGUAAUGCUGGGAACUCUAAAGAGACUGCCUACGUAAGUAGUGAGGAAGGUGGGGACGACGUCAAGUCAUCAUGGCCCUUACGUCCAGGGCUACACACGUGCUACAAUGGUCGCUACAAAGGGUUGCAACACAGCAAUGUGAAGCUAAUCCCAUAAAAGCGGCCUCAGUUCGGAUUGAAGUCUGCAACUCGACUUCAUGAAGUUGGAUUCGCUAGUAAUCGCAUAUCAGCAAUGAUGCGGUGAAUACGUUCCCGGGCCUUGUACACACCGCCCGUCAAGCCAUGGAAGAUGGGAGAACCUGAAGCCGAUAACCGCAAGGAGUCGUCUAGGGUUAUACCAUUGACUGGGGCUAAGUCGUAACAAGGUA